RNAcentral lists this transfer RNA (69 nucleotides) under Marmota monax (woodchuck). RNAcentral's name for it is "tRNA.Ala". Lineage: Eukaryota; Metazoa; Chordata; Mammalia; Rodentia; Sciuridae. The record is from RNAcentral.
GGAAUGUGGCUCAAGUGGUAGUGUGCUCACCUAGCAUAGGUGAGGCACUGGGUUCGAUUCUCAGCACCA